CUUUGGGAUUGGUCUCAAGUGGUCCUGGAGACAUUCUCUCCACAGUUUCCUUUUUCAUCUAUGUAAUUACAUGGUCCAGACUAUUUACUGUGAAAGUACUGGUCUCUUAGCCUGUAAGGCUUGUGCAUGAUGUAUAUGAGAGCGAUUUCCAGCAGAGAGAAGCUUAUCACAGAUCCACCUAAAAGAUGAGAUCUUCUACCAGUGCUGACAAACAAAAAAAAAAAAAAAAAGGAAGCACAACAAAAACCUGAAUAUCAACAAGAAGAUUCACAUUCACAGAGGAAUGCAAUCAAAAAUGAUGCUGCAAAUCAAGCCUAGAAUCAGACCAUCACAAAUUCAAAAACUUUUAGCUAUUUGCAAUUAUGAUGGAACAAAAAAGAUAGAAUGGGGUAAACAGAGAAGAAGCAAAGGAUUAAAGGAUAAAGACAGGACAGAGGAAGCUUGAACAGUAGGCAGCAGGCAAGAACAGAGCUGUCAUUUGACUGAUAAAUCAUUCUCUUAAUCAACUGUGCCAGCCAAAGAAAGCCUGAGUAAGCAGCUACAAAUGAAGAAACUUUAACUGAUUU
This 566-nucleotide long non-coding RNA is filed under the name Anser brachyrhynchus (Pink-footed goose). Its description in RNAcentral is "lncRNA (ENSABRG00000002826.1)". The record is from RNAcentral. Lineage: Eukaryota; Metazoa; Chordata; Aves; Anseriformes; Anatidae.